ACCACACACCUGAAAUAAAGAUAUUGCAACAUUAACACCACUGUAUGUCUAUCGUUACAAACCAUCUACAAUACAUCUCUAAUAUCUAGUUUUCUGUUUACAAGACCUGAAUUUUGUGCUCUCCCGGUCGCGGAAACUGAUGACGAAAAAAGCUAAAUUUGCCGAUUUUUAAAUCGCUGCAGAAAAUUCCCUGAAAACGAUAGCCCCAAUUGCUACACUGUUCCAUACUCCAGUAACACUGUAAAAUCUGAAAAUAAGCUCAAAUAUAUGUGCCAUCCGUACCGUUUUUUCACUGUUCCAGUUUUCCUGAGGCCCCUGCUAAAAUGACAACCCCACUUUAAGCUAGCUCAGAGGAAGCAUGUAUACGCUCCUGCAAGUCAUUACGUCAUACUAUCAAGAUCAAGGCUACUCAACUGAUUUUUUUUAAAUAAGUGAAACUCAAUUCUAGCCGCUGAAACUUCAAUUCUAGCAAUUAUUAUUAUUUAGAAGUUCAAAUAUGCACUUCAUUCCGUAAAUUGCCUCUUAUUUGUAAAUUUCACCCCGGCCAAUUCGACACUAACAGCUCAAAACUGUUUACUGCCUCCAUAAACAACAGCAGUUGUUGAGAAAAAAAAAACAACUUAUAAUCGAUACAACAAUGUAUUUAAAUCGGUAAUAAGACAGCCUAACAGGAUGAGUACAGUCCAUGCGAAGGUUGUAGUGACAAUGGUGAAUUCAGUAUAGAUCAGAAAUGUGGUAACUCCGGUUACCCACUUCCAGAAAAGACGCCAGAAAGGGCGGUACUCCAUGGUAAUAUGUUUUCUGUCGGAAGUAAGAUUUCAUAUCAAUGUUACGAGGGGUAUGCUAUGAAUAGCACAGACAUAUCUAUAUCAACGUGUGAAGCUGGUGGAGCUUGGGGCUUAACUAACUUCAAGUGCUUACCCGAGGUUGCAUUCACUGCAGACGUACUAAGAUCGGAUGACACCUACUACAUGUUGGUGAGGAACAAAUACACUUGGGAUGAAGCUAAGUCAAACUGUGAAUGUCUUGGUGGAUAUUUGGCCGACAUAAAAUCACAACAAGAACAAGAUGUAAUAGAAAAGCUUUUUUUCUGGUAUUAGCCGAAGAGUUUGGAUAGGUGGCAAAAGCAAGCAGAACCUGGUGAAUACGUUUGUAUGGUUAGACGGUUCAGUCGUGAACAGUGAUUACGUAAACUGGAAAUCUGGUCAGCCUUACAACCCCGACGGAGGAAUAAGCUGUAUGGAUAUGAUUCGUAAUUGGAAUUACCAGUGGAAUGACGGGGCUUGUUAUCGUAAAUUCGACAGUGUUUGUGAAUUCAGAUAAAGCGUUCAGAAAUAUCAGCAUAUAUUUUGCGUGAUUACUUUAUUAACACUGACAAAGUGUACUUCAUAGUUUUACUUCCAGUACAUAGUUACAUAAUUAGACAACUUAUUUUGAAAAUAAAGCUCAGUAAUAAAAUGUGACAAAAUUAAACAUGUGCUCUGUUUAGUGUGAGUUUUGUACAACAGUCAGGUUGAAUAAUAAGUUUCAAUGGAUAUUUUUUCAUUUCGCUUAUAUUCUAUACACAGGCUGACAGUUUAUACAAGCAAAACAAUUUGAUAAUAUUGAAAAUGAGUUUAAUUACUAACUGAGCCUCAGAAGAAUUUACUUUGAAUGCGUUUCUCCUCAGUUCAAAUUUAUUUUAUAUUCUUUUCCACUCGGACAUAAACUCUGACAUUCAACUUCAAACCUACUGUCAAGUUUAGAUAUUUAAAAACUAUUACUGAGACUAUGAUACGUUUGUUCCUCAUAUUUGUUGUUGGCAAAUAAAUUAAAAAGCGUACUGCAAGUUAUUGACCGUUCAAAUAUAAUGCAAUUCGAAUACACAAUUCCAAGAGACUGACAUUAACUGUAUAAAUGCAAGAUAGCAAUAGCGCUACUUGACCUUUGUUGAAUAAACUUAAAAUGUGUCCAUGUCUUGAUAAAGGUGCACAGAAUUUGAAUAAUAUUAGUAUAUUUGCAUUUGGUAUUUCUCAAGAAUAUUGCGGAUUAAUCGAUAGAAAUCGGUCGUCCGAGGCUUAAACACGUGAUUUUAACAUUUUAAUUAUCACAGUGGAAAUUACUGGAAUUAAAACAUUUUCUGUGUCUUA
Molecule: RNA transcript, 2129 nt
Organism: Mercenaria mercenaria
Lineage: Eukaryota; Metazoa; Mollusca; Bivalvia; Venerida; Veneridae
Gene name: sushi, von Willebrand factor type A, EGF and pentraxin domain-containing protein 1-like
Exons: 6
Source: RefSeq, a predicted model, not a curated record